This 1065-nucleotide long non-coding RNA is filed under the name Scleropages formosus (Asian bonytongue). RNAcentral describes it as "lncRNA (ENSSFOG00015027651.1)". Lineage: Eukaryota; Metazoa; Chordata; Actinopteri; Osteoglossiformes; Osteoglossidae. The record is from RNAcentral.
ACCCUCAGAAGGUUCAGUUCGUACUGCUGUAGGACCCUUGACCGAGUACUUUCUCUGAACUGCUGUAUAAACUGGGGGGGGGGGAAUCAUUACCAAAGGAGUAGGGCAAAUGGAAAAGUGUUCAGGAGAGUUUAAGGAGAUCGUCACUACUACAGCGCGUGUACCGAACCAACACUCUCUCUUGUCCGCAUUUCCGUACGUACACAGAAAACACAGCCAUCUCUGUGAAAUGUCUCAUUGUUGCGCGUUACCGCCGUGAAAACGCACCACGGCAUUUACACUGUUUAAGUGUUGUAGCGAAUGCCUCGCGUUGCCGGUCGACCCCCGGCUCCUUGGCUUGCUUGGGAAGAUGGCUGCUGCUGCUGGAGCUGCGCGGGAGCUGGGCUCGCCGCGUGCGGGGCGCUCCGUCCACCUUUCGCAUUCUGGGGAACUCCUCCCAUGCAACAUAUAUUCGUUUUACCACAAAAUGAGGGAAAAGGCUUCACAUGAGCACUGAAAUGGUGCGUUGUGCUGUACGCCGUUACUGCGGUUGAGAUAAAACUUAGUCUAGAGGAGCUGUGGGGCCUCUGCUCGAAUGGUACGAGCGAACUGUGCGCUCGGCCACUCGCUUCCCAUUUGUACCAAACAUGGCACCGCGAGCGCCUUCUGGGGCGCUGGGAGCCGCGAGUGAGCCGUGUACAGCCUUGCCAAGGAGACCACCACCAGUCCGACUGUAAGAAAAGUAAGGGACCCAGUAGGACCGCGAACCACCAUGAUGCUUUCGGCUGGAAGGAAGAAAACUGGAGUCUGGAGGCACUUCUGGUACGAUGAGCGGACGAGGAAAACAACCUGCAGAAUAUUGCCGAGAGGAAAAGAAACGGAAUGCGGAUACAGUCUGAGUGGAAAAAAUACGACCAAUCUGAAGCGGCAUUUGAGGCAACGGCACCCAGAUAUUGCUGAAGAGCUCAUUUUUGAUGUCCGCGAGUGUCCAUGUUGAGACAGCAUUACGACGACUGCACAUGAUUAUAGGAUAAAUUGGUUGAUGGUAACAACUGAAGUUUGUGUGAAGUACGUAUUUUUAUUUUG